AGAGUUUGAUCAUGGCUCAGAACGUACGCUGGCGGCACGCCUAACACAUGCAAGUCGAACGAAGUAGCAAUACUUAGUGGCAGACGGGUGAGUAACAUGUAGGUAUCUGCCCUUUGGCCUGGAAUAACACGAGGAAACUUGUGCUAAUACCGGAUAAGUCUUUACGGAGAAAGCUUUAUGCACCAUUGGAUGAGCCUGCACUUGAUUAGUUUGUUGGUGGGGUAAUGGCCUACCAAGACUGUGAUCAAUAGCUGAUUUGAGAGGAUGAUCAGCCACAUUGGGACUGAGACACGGCCCAAACUCCUACGGGAGGCAGCAGUGGGGAAUCUUGCACAAUGGAGGAAACUCUGAUGCAGCGAUGCCGCGUGAGUGAAGAAGGCCUUUGGGUUGUAAAGCUCUUUCGUCGGGGAAGAAAAUGACUGUACCCGAAUAAGAAGGUCCGGCUAACUUCGUGCCAGCAGCCGCGGUAAUACGAAGGGACCUAGCGUAGUUCGGAAUUACUGGGCUUAAAGAGUUCGUAGGUGGUUGAAAAAGUUGGUGGUGAAAUCCCAGAGCUUAACUCUGGAACUGCCAUCAAAACUUUUCAGCUAGAGUAUGAUAGAGGAAAGCAGAAUUUCUAGUGUAGAGGUGAAAUUCGUAGAUAUUAGAAAGAAUACCAAUUGCGAAGGCAGCUUUCUGGAUCAUUACUGACACUGAGGAACGAAAGCAUGGGUAGCGAAGAGGAUUAGAUACCCUCGUAGUCCAUGCCGUAAACGAUGUGUGUUAGACGUUGGAAAUUUAUUUUCAGUGUCGCAGCGAAAGCGAUAAACACACCGCCUGGGGAGUACGACCGCAAGGUUAAAACUCAAAUGAAUUGACGGGGACCCGCACAAGUAGUGGAGCAUGUGGUUUAAUUCGAAGAUACGCGCAGAACCUUACCAACACUUGACAUGUUCGUCGCGACUUUAAGAGAUUAAAGUUUUCGGUUCGGCCGGACGAAACACAGGUGCUGCAUGGCUGUCGUCAGCUCGUGUCGUGAGAUGUUGGGUUAAGUCCCGCAACGAGCGCAACCCUCACUUUUAGUUGCCAUCAUUAAGUUGGGCACUCUGAAAGAACUGCCAGUGAUAAGCUGGAGGAAGGUGGGGAUGACGUCAAGUCCUCAUGGCCCUUACGUGUUGGGCUACACACGUGCUACAAUGGUAUCUACAACAGGAAGCAAAACUGCGAAGUUAAGCAAAUCCUUAAAAGAUACCUCAGUUCGGAUUGCACUCUGCAACUCGAGUGCAUGAAGCUGGAAUUACUAGUAAUCGUGGAUCAGCGUGCCACGGUGAAUGCGUUCCCGGGUCUUGUACACACCGCCCGUCACACCAUGGGAGUUGGUUCUACCUUAAGGCAAGGUUUCAUACCCUUGACCACGGUAUAGUCAGCGACUGGGGUGAAGUCGUAACAAGGUAGCCGUA
RNAcentral lists this ribosomal RNA (1439 nucleotides) under uncultured bacterium. Its description in RNAcentral is "bacterial SSU rRNA". It matches the Rfam family "Bacterial small subunit ribosomal RNA". The record is from RNAcentral.